RNAcentral lists this ribosomal RNA (114 nucleotides) under Anolis carolinensis (green anole). Lineage: Eukaryota; Metazoa; Chordata; Lepidosauria; Squamata; Anolidae. The record is from RNAcentral.
GCUUUCAUGGUACCAUAAAGGCACCAAAUCCCAUCUGAUUAUGGAAGCUAAGCAGGGUCAGUCCUGGUUAGUACUUGGAUGGGGACCGCCAAUGAAUCCCUGGCGCUGGAGGCU